This 192-nucleotide ribosomal RNA is filed under the name Triticum aestivum (bread wheat). RNAcentral describes it as "partial small subunit ribosomal RNA". Lineage: Eukaryota; Viridiplantae; Streptophyta; Magnoliopsida; Poales; Poaceae. The record is from RNAcentral.
AUGGCUGCUCUGCUGAUUCUCGCCGCCUUGAUCUGCCGGCUUCUCCUUGUCCUGCUUGGGGGUGGCUGUCAACCAGGGUAUGUGGUUCAUGUACUUUGUGAUGGAAGAAACUUCUUCUACACCUACCUGCUUUCUCUGUCCUCCGAUGCUGCUGCAUUGGAGCCAGGCAAGGACCAGUCCAGAAGGAAGUAG